Molecule: long non-coding RNA, 2051 nt
Organism: Cyprinus carpio carpio
Lineage: Eukaryota; Metazoa; Chordata; Actinopteri; Cypriniformes; Cyprinidae
Source: Ensembl
GUAGCAUUGCCUUCUCUCGUCUCAUUCAUCUAUUGACAUUACAAACAAGCAUGCACUAAGAUCAGUUAAUUUGUGCUCAACUGUUUUAAUAGUGAUAUUGUUUGAUGAAUUUAUUUAAAUCAUGAGAGCUGUUUCGGUUUAAGCAAAGACGUUGUUUUAUGUUUCAUAUGUUUAGAGUAAUUUGUGUGUUAGGUCAUCUUCAUUUAAUUAAAGAAUCCCGCUUGUAUUAUUGGUGAUUGGCCUGGCAACACAGUCUUCAGAAUUAAUGAAUGAAUGAAUGAAUGAAUUUGUUUUAUAGGUCUCUUAAAGGAGAACCAUCCGGUUGGUUUUUAAUUCCUCUUUCAUAGAUCCAGUUAUUUUAAAGGACUAGCACGACUAUUGUUUCUAUAUUUUGUGGUGAAUUGCCCAGUGCUCUUUUUGUAUUGUGUGUAUUAAUAUUAAUAUGAAUUUUUUUUUUUUUUUUUUUAAGUUGUCCUCCUUCCUGACUUAAUGGCGUCUGCAGGGCCUCCUACAUGGGUGUGACUGGCACUGGUGAGGUGGUGGGGAUUUUUCUGUGGUUUCUGGUGAUCUGUUUUUCCUUUCGAGUGCUGUGACUGCUGUGCUGCAUUGGGGUUUGAAUUUCAAUUAGUGGUUGUAUAUUUUCACACUGAUAGUUGUGCCCUGUUGGAGCCCUGUGGCAUGUCAAAGGUGUUUUGGAUAUUUAUUAUUUUGUGAAAGUUGGUAUCUGUGAAUUGUAAUAAAACUGCUUGUAUGAGCGGUAAAGCUUUCACUACAGUUUGUGGCCAGUUAUUAGCCCUCUCUGAUUUGGUGGGUUACACAUGACCAAUGUCUUGAAAUAAACCAUCUUAAUGUCUUGAUGUGUGGUUGUGACUCCAGGCUGUUAAAAUUAUUAGAGAGAUAAUGCACACCUGAAGUGGUUAUGUGGCCACGACGCUGCAUCUAUUAAUGGAAUGGUCUUUCUCAGUUAUCAAACAAAUUAAGAACUAGUGUCAGUUUAACGGUGAAAGAGAGCGAGGUGAGAUGGAAGCCACAAAUCAUUUAAUAUUAGUCAACUGUUUUACCACAGAAAUGUUUAAUGAUCACUAUAUGAUGACACAAUGAUACAAACUACAUGAUUUAUUCCAUUAAACAUGGCCAUUUUGAGAGUGAGAGGAUAAAAUUUGCAUGUUUGAAUUAUCUGUUCGUCUCUGUUUAGUUAGGUUUCUUCAAGAAGCAUCUCAUUGCUGCUGAGUAAUGUCUCAAAGCUAUUUUAUUAUAAUAAAAGGCAAGGAAUAGUAUUGACAACAUUUUUGCUCACUUCUCAGGGCUCUGAGCUUACUUUUCUUUUUAGGAGCACUUGUAAAUUUAAAAAAAAAAAAAAAAAAAAAUCAGAAGCAGAGUCAAAAAAAUUAUGGAGUAACCUUCUGUUCAAUAAUCCAAAAAGUGAUGUACAGUAAUGGCAUUUUUCUAAUUUUAUUACAUGUAGGCUAUGUCAGCUUUUAUGUCAAAUUCAAAUUUGUAAUUUUUAAGCUUUUUUUUUUUUUUAAUCUGUUUAAAACAAUAGAAUAUGAACAAGUAAGAAUAAGUUGGCAAUCAUAUGAAAAAAAUAUUAACGUUAAUUGGUAGGCUACUAGCACAGAAGAAGACAAAAGUGGAUUGUAGGCUAGAUGUAUUUUCAGAUGUUUAAUGAGGCUCAGAGGUGGCUUGAGUACAAUUAAAUUCAUAAAUUUAUGUUGAGGUUAAUGUUUCAAAUAUAACAAUUUUAACAGGCCUAUAGAAAUAUUCAGUGAUUGAAAUGACUGAAAUUAUACUUUAAAAUUGAAACUAAAACUGCUAGUAGUGGUGGCAGGUCACUGAUUUUAUAAUUUAUAAUCAAUUCAUUUGAAUGGCUGAUUCGCACAGGAAUGAAGCAGUUAUGAAUGGGAAAUUAUGAAUCACUGACUAGUUUAAAAACGCACCUUCUUUCAUUAACAAAACACCGCUGUGUUUGCUUUUAGAGAUUCGCAGCUGCUCAGCUGUGACUGUUUUAAACUAUUUUCGUUGACAAAAUCAGGCAAUAGUGUAAUAGUCAG